CUCGUAGGCGGUUUGUCGCGUCUGCUGUGAAAAUCCAGGGCUUAACCCUGGACCUGCAGUGGGUACGGGCAGACUAGAGUGCGGUAGGGGAGAUCGGAAUUCCUGGUGUAGCGGUGAAAUGCGCAGAUAUCAGGAGGAACACCGGUGGCGAAGGCGGAUCUCUGGGCCGUAACUGACGCUGAGGAGCGAAAGCAUGGGGAGCGAACA
RNAcentral lists this ribosomal RNA (207 nucleotides) under uncultured bacterium. RNAcentral's name for it is "partial 16S ribosomal RNA". It matches the Rfam family "Bacterial small subunit ribosomal RNA", at positions 568 to 774 of the family's 1533-position model. The record is from RNAcentral.